AGCAGCCGCGGUAAUUCCAGCUCCAAUAGCGUAUAUUAAAGUUGUUGCAGUUAAAAAGCUCGUAGUUGAAUUUCGGAAUCAAUAUGUCGGUCGUGCCUUCGGUACGUACUGGUAUCAUUGGUUUCUCCUUUCUGACGAACCGUGAUGUCAUUAAUUUGGUGUUAUGGGGAGUUAGGACUGUUACUUUGAAAAAUUAGAGUGUUUAAAGCAGGCUUUAGCUUGAAUACAUUAGCAUGGAAUAAUGAAAUAGGACGUUCGAACCUAUUUUGUUGGUUUCUAGGAUCAACGUAAUGAUUAAUAGGGAUAGUUGGGGGCAUUAGUAUUCAAUUGUCAGAGGUGAAAUUCUUGGAUUUAUUGAAGACUAACUACUGCGAAAGCAUUUGCCAAGGAUGUUUUCAUUAAUCAAGAACGAAAGUUAGGGGAUCGAAGACGAUCAGAUACCGUCGUAGU
RNAcentral lists this ribosomal RNA (450 nucleotides) under uncultured Glomus. RNAcentral describes it as "SSU rRNA". It matches the Rfam family "Eukaryotic small subunit ribosomal RNA", at positions 569 to 1024 of the family's 1831-position model. The record is from RNAcentral. Lineage: Eukaryota; Fungi; Glomeromycota; Glomeromycetes; Glomerales; Glomeraceae.